GUUGGUGGGGGUGGAGAGACAGAACUUGUCCAGGUAACCACUGAAGAAAGGUUUCUUCCAUUUCUCUUUCUAGCCAGAGACGACUAUCCAUAACGACAUCAUAAAGAGAUAGAUGACAAGGGAUGCAAUCAGCGGCAGGUGGGACGCAAGAGACAAAACUGCUGCCCACUAAGACGAUGUAUGGUGGAAUCAGAAGAAGCCUGGUAAACAGUGGAGGCUUCUGUCAUUACAGCAGUGACAAGUCCCUUCCUCCCUCCAUGGUGCCAAUGGAGGUCCCAAUAGGAGACAGAACGUCCAGGCACCAUAUGCCAUGCAAGCAAUAAUUAAAAGGAAGCAAACGUGGGCAUUUUAACAGCACACAGAGCAAGCACAAGGAAAGGCAGGAAAGGACCAAAUGCAGAGAAUGACAUAAUAUAAUCAUAAGAGUCAAGCCACCAACGAGGAAUGGCCACCUUAAAAGCGUGUGUAGCAACUACAGAUCUGAAAAAUAAGUCACAAAAUUGAUGUUGAACACUUCAACAAUCCUCACUCAACAACUGAUAGACUAACGAGACGAAGAAAGAACAGACACAGAGGAC
This 578-nucleotide long non-coding RNA is filed under the name Fukomys damarensis (Damara mole-rat). RNAcentral's name for it is "lncRNA (ENSFDAG00000023170.1)". Lineage: Eukaryota; Metazoa; Chordata; Mammalia; Rodentia; Bathyergidae. The record is from RNAcentral.